ACCUUCCAGAGUGCGCAUACUAAAACAAACAAACAAACAAAAAAAAAAACAUAGACGCACGCAGUGUGGGAUACAGACGUGAGAUCUCGAGAAAUAAGUUCCAAAUUGGUUGUUUCACACGAGUGCAGUCACGCAGAGUUCCUGUUCCGCGCGCCGCAGGAACGAUCGUCGGACUGGAGCCUUUUACGCGCAUCUUUCCUGGAAUGUUCACACCAACUAACGGAAGCGGAUCGGCUGUUGCAGGCACGAGCUGAAGGUGACCUGAUGGCUGGACCAGGGGCUGCAACACAGGACAUGGGUCCUGUCUGUCCACCCCCUCGUGUCUUGUGUUGCAGCCAGUGGAGCUGCCUGUCUGCGUCUCUGCUGCCUGUCUGUCUGCUGCCAGUCGGUGAUGGACUGAGUCCCCAGAACAGAUGGAUCUUACAGACCUGUCAAUGCUUCUCUACUUUCUGCAA
Thalassophryne amazonica is the source of this 455-nucleotide long non-coding RNA. RefSeq lists it as uncharacterized. Lineage: Eukaryota; Metazoa; Chordata; Actinopteri; Batrachoidiformes; Batrachoididae. The record is from RefSeq and is a predicted model, not a curated record. The transcript is spliced from 2 exons.